UACGUAGGGUGCAAGCGUUGUCCGGAAUUAUUGGGCGUAAAGAGCUCGUAGGCGGUUCGUCACGUCGGCUGUGAAAUCCCGAGGCUCAACCUCGGGUCUGCAGUCGAUACGGGCGGACUUGAGUACUGCAGGGGAGACUGGAAUUCCUGGUGUAGCGGUGAAAUGCGCAGAUAUCAGGAGGAACACCAAUAGCGAAGGCAGCUCGCUGGGACGUUACUGACACUAAGGCGCGAAAGCGUGGGGAGCGAACAGG
Molecule: ribosomal RNA, 253 nt
Filed under: uncultured bacterium
Lineage: Bacteria
Description: partial 16S ribosomal RNA
Rfam family: Bacterial small subunit ribosomal RNA
Source: RNAcentral